This 82-nucleotide transfer RNA is filed under the name Balamuthia mandrillaris. Its description in RNAcentral is "tRNA-Tyr". It matches the Rfam family "tRNA". From Rfam's summary of the family: Transfer RNA (tRNA) molecules are approximately 80 nucleotides in length. Their secondary structure includes four short double-helical elements and three loops (D, anti-codon, and T loops). The record is from RNAcentral. Lineage: Eukaryota; Discosea; Longamoebia; Balamuthiidae.
UAGGGAGUACCCAAGAGGCCAAAGGGGAAGGGCUGUAAACCCUUUGCGUUGCGCUUCGUAGGUUCGAAUCCUACCUCCAUCA